GACGGAGGGGGCGAGCGUUGUUCGGAAUUAUUGGGCGUAAAGGGCGCGUAGGCGGAUCGGCGGGUCCGGCGUGAAAUCUCCACCACUCAACGGGGAGGCGCCGCUGGAAACUACCGAUCUGGAGUUCGGUAGAGGAGCAUGGAAUUCCGGGUGUAGCGGUGGAAUGCGUAGAUAUCCGGAAGAACACCUGUGGCGAAGGCGGUGCUCUGGGCCGAAACUGACGCUGAGGCGCGAAAGCUAGGGGAGCAAACGGG
RNAcentral lists this ribosomal RNA (254 nucleotides) under uncultured microorganism. RNAcentral's name for it is "partial 16S ribosomal RNA". It matches the Rfam family "Bacterial small subunit ribosomal RNA", at positions 524 to 776 of the family's 1533-position model. The record is from RNAcentral.